Molecule: long non-coding RNA, 447 nt
Organism: Leopardus geoffroyi (Geoffroy's cat)
Lineage: Eukaryota; Metazoa; Chordata; Mammalia; Carnivora; Felidae
Exons: 3
Source: RefSeq, a predicted model, not a curated record
GCAGGACGUCUGCGGUACGUGUGACGUCAUCACUUGACGUGACUUCCUGAGUGGGAGGGAGUGCCCCUUGGAGACCUGCCCGGCGCCUAUGGGAAGUUUCAGCAGGAUCAUUGAAAGUCAUAAGGAACCAGAACAAUUCUUUUGUGUGGGAGAUUGUCCUGUGUGUAAUUCCAGAUGUUCAACAUCCAUAGCUUACACUACAAAUGCCAAUAGACCUAAAGGAGGAUUAGAAUCCCAGUGAAGAAAGUACUCUGCCAUCAGCUACUUCAUGGCAUAGUUCAAAACAGGGCAGACACUCUCAGGAACCUGUGAGUAAACAGUAAAUGGUGACCAGCAUCCUGCCCCCAUUACUCCAUAUCUUGCCAUUUAAUUUUCUGCAAAAACAAAACACAUAAUUUAUCUUGGCAAUUGAGAACUUGCAAUUGCUUCUCUCUACCUUAUGUUGAA